CCUACGGGGGGCAGCAGUGGGGAAUAUUGCACAAUGGGGGAAACCCUGAUGCAGCGACGCCGCGUGAGUGAAGAAGUAUUUCGGUACGUAAAGCUCUAUCAGCAGGGAAGAAAAUGACGGUACCUGACUAAUAAGCCCCGGCUAACUACGUGCCAGCAGCCGCGGUAAUACGUAGGGGGCAAGCGUUAACCGGAUUUACUGGGGGUAAAGGGAGCGUAGACGGCAGCGCAAGUCUGGAGUGAAAUCCCAUGGCUUAACCAUGGAACUGCUUUGGAAACUGUGCAGCUAGAGUGCAGGAGAGGUAAGCGGAAUUCCUAGUGUAGCGGUGAAAUGCGUAGAUAUUAGGAGGAACACCAGUGGCGAAGGCGGCUUACUGGACUGUAACUGACGUUGAGGCUCGAAAGCGUGGGGAGCAAACAGGAUUAGAUACCCGUGUAGUC
This 440-nucleotide ribosomal RNA is filed under the name uncultured bacterium. RNAcentral describes it as "partial 16S ribosomal RNA". It matches the Rfam family "Bacterial small subunit ribosomal RNA", at positions 338 to 795 of the family's 1533-position model. The record is from RNAcentral.